GAUUAACGCUAGCGGCAGGCCUAAUACAUGCAAGUCGAGGGGUAACAGGGUAGCAAUACCGCUGACGACCGGCGCACGGGUGAGUAACACGUAUGUAACCUACCUAUAACUGGGGAAUAGCCUUCCGAAAGGAAGAUUAACACCGCAUAACAUCACGAGGCGGCAUCGCUUUGUGAUCAAACCUCCGGGGGUUAUAGAUGGACAUGCGCAACAUUAGCUAGUUGGUGAGGUAACGGCCCACCAAGGCGACGAUGUUUAGGGGGUCUGAGAGG
This 272-nucleotide ribosomal RNA is filed under the name uncultured bacterium. Its description in RNAcentral is "partial 16S ribosomal RNA". It matches the Rfam family "Bacterial small subunit ribosomal RNA", at positions 28 to 299 of the family's 1533-position model. The record is from RNAcentral.